RNAcentral lists this ribosomal RNA (468 nucleotides) under uncultured bacterium. RNAcentral describes it as "partial 16S ribosomal RNA". It matches the Rfam family "Bacterial small subunit ribosomal RNA", at positions 28 to 507 of the family's 1533-position model. The record is from RNAcentral.
GACGAACGCUGGCGGCGUGCUUAACACAUGCAAGUCGAACGGAAAGGCCCUGCUUUUGUGGGGUGCUCGAGUGGCGAACGGGUGAGUAACGCGUGAGUAACCUGCCCUUGACUUUGGGAUAACUUCAGGAAACUGGGGCUAAUACAGGAUAGGAGCUCCUGCUGCAUGGUGGGGGAUGGAAAGUUUCGGCGGUUGGGGAUGGACUCGCGGCUUAUCAGCUUGUUGGUGGGGUAGUGGCUUACCAAGGCUUUGACGGGUAGCCGGCCUGAGAGGGUGACCGGCCACAUUGGGCCUGAGAUACGGCCCAGACUCCUACGGUAGGCAGCAGUGGGGAAUAUUGCACAAUGGGCGGAAGCCUGAUGCAGCAACGCCGCGUGCGUGAUGACGGCCUUCGGGUUGUAAACCGCUUUCGCCUGUGACGAAGCGUGAGUGACGGUAAUGGGUAAAGAAGCACCGGCUAACUACGUG